This 374-nucleotide ribosomal RNA is filed under the name uncultured bacterium. RNAcentral describes it as "bacterial SSU rRNA". It matches the Rfam family "Bacterial small subunit ribosomal RNA", at positions 524 to 898 of the family's 1533-position model. The record is from RNAcentral.
GACGUAGGAGGCGAGCGUUAUCCGGAUUCAUUGGGCGUAAAGGGCAAGUAGGCGGUUGUCAAAGUUGGGCGUGACAUCUCCUGGCUUAACUAGGAGGGGUCGUUCAAAACUAGGCGACUAGAGGGCAGAAGAGGAAAGCGGAACUCCUGAUGUAGCGGUGGAAUGCUCAGAUAUCAGGAAGAACACCAGUGGCGAAGGCGGCUUUCUGGUCUGCACCUGACGCUGAGAGGCGAAGGCCAGGGUAGCGAACGGGCUUAGAUACCCCGGUAGUCCUGGCAGUAAACGGUGGAUACUAGGUAUCAGGGGUCAAGGCCUUUGGUGCCGAAGCCAACGCGUUAAGUAUCCCGCCUGGGGACUACGGCCGCAAGGUUAAA